GGUGCGUGGUAAGACUCCCAGUCGAGUGUCCCUAGUUAUGUCGAGACGAGGCAGAUGGCUCAGUAACAUGUGGAUAACCUACCUUCAGGCAGAGGAUAAACUCGGGACCAUGGGGAUAAUACUCGAUAGUCGAGGAUGUCUGGAAUGACUUCUCAUUCUAAUCGCAUUGGAUACACGCUUUCUAUGUCGCCUGGGUAUGGGGUGCGUCCGAUCCAGCUGUUGGUGAGGUAACUCCUCACCAAAUCUAUAACCGUCACGCGCAGUGAGAGCGGUAGCCCGGAGUCUGGUACUGAGACAAGGUACAGGCCUCACGGGGUGCAGCAGUCGAGAAAACUCCGCAAUGCAGGAAAGUGCGAGGCGGGUACCCGGAGUUCCAUCCGCAGAGAUCAUCUUCUCCACUGUAUAGCUAGCCAUGGGAAUAAGGAGAGGCCACGAUCGGUCUCACCUGUUGUUGUCAUGCCAGCUUUGAGAGUGGUAGGGAUGAUUUCAUGGGAUAAAGCUUCAGUAACCCCCUUAGCAAGUCUCCUGUUAAAUUCAGCGACCUAAUGGUUGACCCGCGGGAGAUAGGACUAGGGUAGGAGGCGGGAGAUCCGACGGCCUUCUCGGUAGGGGUGAAAUCCAAUAAUCCCGGGAGGCCCACCAGUGGCGAAGGCUGUAUCGUAGACAGCCCUAGCCGGUGAGGGAUGCCAGACGGGGGAGGGAACCGGAUUAGAUACCCGGGUAGUCCCAACAAUAAACGAUGCGAGGUAGGUGUUCGAAUGGUUGCGGUCCAUCUCAGUGCAGCAGGGAAGCCAUUAAGCUCGCCGCCUGGGGAGUACGGCCGCAAGGCAAAACUUAAAGGAAUUGGCGCGGGAGCUACACAAGGUCGAAGCCAGCGGUUCAAUCGAGUUCACCCC
RNAcentral lists this ribosomal RNA (896 nucleotides) under uncultured archaeon. Its description in RNAcentral is "bacterial SSU rRNA". It matches the Rfam family "Archaeal small subunit ribosomal RNA", at positions 37 to 918 of the family's 1478-position model. The record is from RNAcentral.